This 566-nucleotide ribosomal RNA is filed under the name uncultured archaeon. RNAcentral describes it as "bacterial SSU rRNA". It matches the Rfam family "Archaeal small subunit ribosomal RNA", at positions 311 to 879 of the family's 1478-position model. The record is from RNAcentral.
CGCGAAUUCGCCCUUGGGGUGCAGCAGGCGCGAAACCUCUGCAAUAGGCGAAAGCUUGACAGGGUUACUCUGAGUGACGUCCGUUAAGGACGUCUUUUGGCACCUCUAAAAAUGGUGCAGAAUAAGGGGUGGGCAAGUCUGGUGUCAGCCGCCGCGGUAAUACCAGCACCCCGAGUGGUCGGGACGAUUAUUGGGCCUAAAGCAUCCGUAGCCGGUUCUGCAAGUCUUCCGUUAAAUCCACCUGCUCAACAGAUGGGCCGCGGAGGAUACUACAGGGCUAGGAGGCGGGAGAGGCAAGCGGUACUCAGUGGGUAGGGGUAAAAUCCUCUGAUCCACUGAAGACCACCAGUGGCGAAGGCGGCUUGCCAGAACGCGCUCGACGGUGAGGGAUGAAAGCUGGGGGAGCAAACCGGAUUAGAUACCCGGGUAGUCCCAGCUGUAAACGAUGCAGACUCGGUGGAUGGGUUGGCUUCNAGCCAACCCAGUGCCGCAGGGAAGCCGUUAAGUCUGCCGCCUGGGGAGUACGGUCGCAAGACUGAAACUUAAAGGAAUUGGCGGAGGAGCAC